This 882-nucleotide ribosomal RNA is filed under the name uncultured Candidatus Saccharibacteria bacterium. Its description in RNAcentral is "bacterial SSU rRNA". It matches the Rfam family "Bacterial small subunit ribosomal RNA", at positions 571 to 1482 of the family's 1533-position model. The record is from RNAcentral. Lineage: Bacteria; Candidatus Saccharimonadota.
GUAGGCGGCUUAUUAAGCGAGUAGUGAAAUCUGGUGGCUCAACCAUCAACCCAUUGCUCGAACUGAUAGGCUUGAGAAUGGUAGAGGUAGCUGGAAUUUCUUGUGUAGGAGUGAAAUCCGUAGAUAUAAGAAGGAACACCAAUGGCGUAGGCAGGCUACUGGACCAUUUCUGACGCUGAGGCACGAAAGCGUGGGGAGCGAACCGGAUUAGAUACCCGGGUAGUCCACGCCGUAAACGAUGGAUGCUAGCUGUGGGGGGUAUCGACCCCCUCCGUAGCGAAGCUAACGCGUUAAGCAUCCCGCCUGUGGAGUACGGCCGCAAGGCUAAGACAUAAAGGAAUUGACGGGGACCCGCACAAGCGGUGGAGCGUGUUCUUUAAUUCGAUGAUAAACGAAGAACCUUACCAAGGCUUGACAUCCCAGGAAUCUUUCCGAAAGGAGAGAGUGCUUUAUUGAACCUGGUGACAGAUCUUGCAUGGCCGUCGUCAGCUCGUGUCGUGAGAUGUUUGGUUAAGUCCAUCAACGAGCGCAACCCCUAUGAUUAGUUGGAUUUUUCUAGUCAGACUGCCCCGGUAACGGGGAGGAAGGGGGGGAUGAUGUCAGGUCAGUAUUAGUCUUACGUCUUGGGCUAGAAACGCGCUACAAUGGCCGGUACAAAGGGCAGCCAACCCGUAAGGGGGAGCAAAUCCCAUCAAAGCCGGUCCCAGUUCAGAUUGGAGGCUGAAACUCGCCUCCAUGAAGUCGGAAUCGCUAGUAAUCGCAAAUCAGCAUGUUGCGGUGAAUACGUUCCCGGGUCUUGUACACACCGCCCGUCAAACCAUGAAAGUGACCAACACCCGAAGUCCGAUUCGUCGGCCUAAGGUGGGGGGCAUGACUGGGGUU